Molecule: ribosomal RNA, 424 nt
Filed under: uncultured beta proteobacterium
Lineage: Bacteria; Pseudomonadati; Pseudomonadota; Betaproteobacteria
Description: bacterial SSU rRNA
Rfam family: Bacterial small subunit ribosomal RNA
Source: RNAcentral
CAAGACCUUGCGCUCUUGGAGCGGCCGAUGUCUGAUUAGCUAGUUGGUGAGGUAAAGGCUUACCAAGGCUUCGAUCAGUAGCUGGUCUGAGAGGACGACCAGCCACACUGGGACUGAGACACGGCCCAGACUCCUACGGGAGGCAGCAGUGGGGAAUUUUGGACAAUGGGGGCAACCCUGAUCCAGCCAUGCCGCGUGAGUGAAGAAGGCCUUCGGGUUGUAAAGCUCUUUCAGCCGGAACGAAAAGGUUACGGUUAAUACCCGUGACUAAUGACGGUACCGGAAGAAGAAGCACCGGCUAACUACGUGCCAGCAGCCGCGGUAAUACGUAGGGUGCGAGCGUUAAUCGGAAUUACUGGGCGUAAAGCGUGCGCAGGCGGUUUUGUAAGUCAGAUGUGAAAUCCCCGGGCUUAACCUGGGAACU